RNAcentral lists this unclassified non-coding RNA (359 nucleotides) under Hevea brasiliensis (rubber tree). Lineage: Eukaryota; Viridiplantae; Streptophyta; Magnoliopsida; Malpighiales; Euphorbiaceae. The record is from RNAcentral.
AGACUAUGACAUUGCCAUUUCCUGGCAAUUAAAAAUUCGUUUCCUUCACUUUUCUUUGUUAGUCGGCAAUGAAAUUCGAGUUUCAGUGUAUUUGAUGGUCUUAAGAAUUGUGUCAGCUUAUUUAAUUGUAUUGGCUAUCAAAUUGGUUAGUUUAGAAUUUUUAUCUAUAUUUUUUUUAGCAGAUUCAUGUGGGUGUUAGUUGAGUUUCAUUCUGUUGUUCAUGUUUACUCCUUAAUUUAUCGUUGCUUCCCCCACCUCCUUUUAGGAAGGUUUUUGAAUCUCAUUGCUUGAUGCUGAUUUUUUUUUUUGUUUUUAAUAUCAUCUUGAUCAGCUUAAAGCCUGUUGAUUAUAUGUGUUUU